This is a small nucleolar RNA of Nycticebus coucang (slow loris), 134 nucleotides long. RefSeq annotates it as small nucleolar RNA SNORA70. The transcript has a single exon. Lineage: Eukaryota; Metazoa; Chordata; Mammalia; Primates; Lorisidae. The record is from RefSeq and is a predicted model, not a curated record.
CUGCAGCUAAUUAAGCCGACUGUGCUCUUUUCCUCAGGGGAGCCUGGUGUGCAAUAGCGCAAAUAGCAGCCUCCUUGGUAGUGUAUGCAGCCUGUUGCAUGUAUGGGUUGCUCUAAGGGGCCUUGGAGACAUUC